CCAUAUUCUAGAGCCGUCUGCUGUCUGCAGAUUCCCCAAGAAUGGCCAGAAACCAUUUUUUGAAGGAAAAUUUCCCAUUUGUGUAAACGGUGGGAGCCAAGCAAAGAGGUCCACACACACUGCGGGCCAGAGGGCACUAAUAUGCAAACUCUACCCCAGACAACUUUAACAUCCCAUCAGCACAAGCACGUAAGAACUUAAUGGAAUUCUGUUGGCAGAAGAGUUUCGUCAUCGUACAGACAGAAAAUCCCACCUUCUCGUGGACUGUCAUGUCAACGAGGCCUAACUGGGGAAGGUCAGGCUGAGUGUGACAGGGAAACGGAAGUUAUGGCUGCACGUGAGGAAGACACCAGACUGAGUGGGAAGCACCGAGAGGAGAGCUGGACCCGACGGAGCCUGACUCCAAUCCCGCUCUCAGGGAGAAGGGAGUGACAGGCGAGUGCUCCUUAAAAUCGCAAGCGGCACUCCCCGCCCGGAGGACAGGAAAACAGCACCUAAAACAACGCCAGAAGCCAUCAAAUCUUCUCGUUCCAGUUCCCCGGCUUCAUCACCUUGCUUCUACCCUAUGCUUUUAUCCUCCCACUGGGUGACAGCUCGGGACUGUCUCAUCCACAUUUACCAACCUCGUAUUUUUCCUGGACUGUGCUAUACAGGGGUGCUACGUGAAAGGAGUCAAUGUGCGGACGAAUUCUGUAUGAAAGAUAAAAAGAUAAAUUUCUUCUAUUCUCUGGGUCUCCUCAGGGUCCACAAUAUGAAGCAUGAAUAAACAAUGAAGAGGAAAUUUUACCAUAUAGCAAAUUCAUUCGAUCACGGAAUACUUAUUUUAGGGCACCAUUUCCAGAAAUCGUUCUUUGACGUUGUUCCAAGAUCGGCUGGUUGCAAAGAAGACACCGUCUUUACGUUAAUACAAACACAGAUUCCGAAUGAAAGCCAAAUCACAUGCAUUUUUCUAUUGUGGUAAAAAACAUAUGAACUUUACUAUCUUCACCCCUUUUAAACAGAGAGUAUGGCAGCGUUCCCUAUAAGCACACAGUUGUGCCACAGAUCUCCAGAACUGUGGAGAAAAUUGCCAAGUUUUCAUUUUGCAAACUGAAAGUCUACACCCGCUGAAUAACUCCUCUUCUUCCCUCCCCGCAGACCUGACAAGCACCAUUUUAUUUUGUCUCUCAGAAUGUCACUACUUUGGAUUCCUCAGAUCACUCGAAUCCUACAGAAUUUGCCUUUUUGUGACCGGCUUACUUCACUUAACGUGAUAUGCUCAAGAUUCAUCUAUGUUAGAUGUGACAAGAUUUCCUUCCUUGUCAAGGCUGAACGAGACCCCAUUUUAUGCUCAUCCCACAUUUUCUUUAUCCGCUCAUCUGCAGAUGGACAUCUAAGCUGUUUCCUCCCGUUGGUUAUUGUGAACGAUGCAGCAAUAAACACAGGGGUACACACA
Long non-coding RNA from Felis catus (domestic cat), 1435 nucleotides. RefSeq lists it as uncharacterized. The record is from RefSeq and is a predicted model, not a curated record. Lineage: Eukaryota; Metazoa; Chordata; Mammalia; Carnivora; Felidae. The transcript is spliced from 2 exons.